UUCCCGGGCCUUGUACACACCGCCCGUCACACCAUGAGAGCUGGUAACACCCGAAGUCCGUGAGGUAACCGUAAGGAGCCAGCGGCCGAAGGUGGGAUUAGUGAUUGGGGUGAAGUCGUAACAAGGUAGCCGUAGGAGAACCUGCGGCUGGAUCACCUCCUUUCUAAGGAGA
RNAcentral lists this ribosomal RNA (172 nucleotides) under Clostridium botulinum. RNAcentral describes it as "partial 16S ribosomal RNA". It matches the Rfam family "Bacterial small subunit ribosomal RNA", at positions 1371 to 1533 of the family's 1533-position model. Lineage: Bacteria; Bacillati; Bacillota; Clostridia; Eubacteriales; Clostridiaceae. The record is from RNAcentral.